This 115-nucleotide ribosomal RNA is filed under the name Wenzhouxiangellaceae bacterium. Lineage: Bacteria; Pseudomonadati; Pseudomonadota; Gammaproteobacteria; Chromatiales; Wenzhouxiangellaceae. The record is from RNAcentral.
CCUGGUGGCAAUAGCGCUGUGGAACCACCCGAUCCCAUCCCGAACUCGGAAGUGAAACGCAGUAGCGCCGAUGGUAGUGCGGCAUAUGCCGUGUGAGAGUAGGUCACCGCCAGGC